CGUGUAGGCGGGAACUGCAAGUCAGAUGUGAAAUACCGAGGCUUAACUUCGGGGCUGCAUCUGAAACUGUAUUUCUUGAGUACCGGAGAGGAAAGUGGAAUUCCCAGUGUAGCGGUGAAAUGCGUAGAUAUUGGGAGGAACACCAGUGGCGAAGGCGACUUUCUGGACGGUAACUGACGCUGAGGCGCGAAAGCGUGGGGAGCAAACA
Molecule: ribosomal RNA, 208 nt
Filed under: uncultured Bacillota bacterium
Lineage: Bacteria; Bacillati; Bacillota
Description: uncultured Firmicutes bacterium partial 16S ribosomal RNA
Rfam family: Bacterial small subunit ribosomal RNA
Source: RNAcentral